UGGUAUGACAUGACCAUUGUUCAGGAGG
This 28-nucleotide non-coding RNA is filed under the name Mus musculus (house mouse). Lineage: Eukaryota; Metazoa; Chordata; Mammalia; Rodentia; Muridae. The record is from RNAcentral.